UGAGGAAUAUUGGUCAAUGGGCGAGAGCCUGAACCAGCCAAGUAGCGUGCAGGAUGACGGCCCUAUGGGUUGUAAACUGCUUUUAUAUGGGAAUAAAGUGAGGGACGUGUCCCUUAUUGCAUGUACCAUACGAAUAAGGACCGGCUAAUUCCGUGCCAGCAGCCGCGGUAAUACGGAAGGUCCAGGCGUUAUCCGGAUUUAUUGGGUUUAAAGGGAGCGUAGGCUGUUUGUUAAGCGUGUUGUGAAAUGUAAGAGCUCAACUUAUAGAUUGCAGCGCGAACUGGCAGACUUGAGUGCGCACAACGUAGGCGGAAUUCAUGGUGUAGCGGUGAAAUGCUUAGAUAUCAUGACGAACUCCGCUUGCGAAGGCAGCUUACGUGAGCGCAACUGACGCUAAAGCUCGAAGGUGCGGGUAUCGAACAGG
This 424-nucleotide ribosomal RNA is filed under the name Verrucomicrobiota bacterium. Its description in RNAcentral is "Verrucomicrobia bacterium partial 16S ribosomal RNA". It matches the Rfam family "Bacterial small subunit ribosomal RNA", at positions 355 to 776 of the family's 1533-position model. Lineage: Bacteria; Pseudomonadati; Verrucomicrobiota. The record is from RNAcentral.